Molecule: ribosomal RNA, 2931 nt
Filed under: Escherichia coli
Lineage: Bacteria; Pseudomonadati; Pseudomonadota; Gammaproteobacteria; Enterobacterales; Enterobacteriaceae
Description: 23S ribosomal RNA
Rfam family: Bacterial large subunit ribosomal RNA
Source: RNAcentral
GGGUUGUGAGGUUAAGCGACUAAGCGUACACGGUGGAUGCCCUGGCAGUCAGAGGCGAUGAAGGACGUGCUAAUCUGCGAUAAGCGUCGGUAAGGUGAUAUGAACCGUUAUAACCGGCGAUUUCCGAAUGGGGAAACCCAGUGUGUUUCGACACACUAUCAUUAACUGAAUCCAUAGGUUAAUGAGGCGAACCGGGGGAACUGAAACAUCUAAGUACCCCGAGGAAAAGAAAUCAACCGAGAUUCCCCCAGUAGCGGCGAGCGAACGGGGAGCAGCCCAGAGCCUGAAUCAGUGUGUGUGUUAGUGGAAGCGUCUGGAAAGGCGCGCGAUACAGGGUGACAGCCCCGUACACAAAAAUGCACAUGCUGUGAGCUCGAUGAGUAGGGCGGGACACGUGGUAUCCUGUCUGAAUAUGGGGGGACCAUCCUCCAAGGCUAAAUACUCCUGACUGACCGAUAGUGAACCAGUACCGUGAGGGAAAGGCGAAAAGAACCCCGGCGAGGGGAGUGAAAAAGAACCUGAAACCGUGUACGUACAAGCAGUGGGAGCACGCUUAGGCGUGUGACUGCGUACCUUUUGUAUAAUGGGUCAGCGACUUAUAUUCUGUAGCAAGGUUAACCGAAUAGGGGAGCCGAAGGGAAACCGAGUCUUAACUGGGCGUUAAGUUGCAGGGUAUAGACCCGAAACCCGGUGAUCUAGCCAUGGGCAGGUUGAAGGUUGGGUAACACUAACUGGAGGACCGAACCGACUAAUGUUGAAAAAUUAGCGGAUGACUUGUGGCUGGGGGUGAAAGGCCAAUCAAACCGGGAGAUAGCUGGUUCUCCCCGAAAGCUAUUUAGGUAGCGCCUCGUGAAUUCAUCUCCGGGGGUAGAGCACUGUUUCGGCAAGGGGGUCAUCCCGACUUACCAACCCGAUGCAAACUGCGAAUACCGGAGAAUGUUAUCACGGGAGACACACGGCGGGUGCUAACGUCCGUCGUGAAGAGGGAAACAACCCAGACCGCCAGCUAAGGUCCCAAAGUCAUGGUUAAGUGGGAAACGAUGUGGGAAGGCCCAGACAGCCAGGAUGUUGGCUUAGAAGCAGCCAUCAUUUAAAGAAAGCGUAAUAGCUCACUGGUCGAGUCGGCCUGCGCGGAAGAUGUAACGGGGCUAAACCAUGCACCGAAGCUGCGGCAGCGACGCUGAUGCGUUGUUGGGUAGGGGAGCGUUCUGUAAGCCUGCGAAGGUGUGCUGUGAGGCAUGCUGGAGGUAUCAGAAGUGCGAAUGCUGACAUAAGUAACGAUAAAGCGGGUGAAAAGCCCGCUCGCCGGAAGACCAAGGGUUCCUGUCCAACGUUAAUCGGGGCAGGGUGAGUCGACCCCUAAGGCGAGGCCGAAAGGCGUAGUCGAUGGGAAACAGGUUAAUAUUCCUGUACUUGGUGUUACUGCGAAGGGGGGACGGAGAAGGCUAUGUUGGCCGGGCGACGGUUGUCCCGGUUUAAGCGUGUAGGCUGGUUUUCCAGGCAAAUCCGGAAAAUCAAGGCUGAGGCGUGAUGACGAGGCACUACGGUGCUGAAGCAACAAAUGCCCUGCUUCCAGGAAAAGCCUCUAAGCAUCAGGUAACAUCAAAUCGUACCCCAAACCGACACAGGUGGUCAGGUAGAGAAUACCAAGGCGCUUGAGAGAACUCGGGUGAAGGAACUAGGCAAAAUGGUGCCGUAACUUCGGGAGAAGGCACGCUGAUAUGUAGGUGAAGCGACUUGCUCGUGGAGCUGAAAUCAGUCGAAGAUACCAGCUGGCUGCAACUGUUUAUUAAAAACACAGCACUGUGCAAACACGAAAGUGGACGUAUACGGUGUGACGCCUGCCCGGUGCCGGAAGGUUAAUUGAUGGGGUUAGCGCAAGCGAAGCUCUUGAUCGAAGCCCCGGUAAACGGCGGCCGUAACUAUAACGGUCCUAAGGUAGCGAAAUUCCUUGUCGGGUAAGUUCCGACCUGCACGAAUGGCGUAAUGAUGGCCAGGCUGUCUCCACCCGAGACUCAGUGAAAUUGAACUCGCUGUGAAGAUGCAGUGUACCCGCGGCAAGACGGAAAGACCCCGUGAACCUUUACUAUAGCUUGACACUGAACAUUGAGCCUUGAUGUGUAGGAUAGGUGGGAGGCUUAGAAGUGUGGACGCCAGUCUGCAUGGAGCCGACCUUGAAAUACCACCCUUUAAUGUUUGAUGUUCUAACGUUGACCCGUAAUCCGGGUUGCGGACAGUGUCUGGUGGGUAGUUUGACUGGGGCGGUCUCCUCCUAAAGAGUAACGGAGGAGCACGAAGGUUGGCUAAUCCUGGUCGGACAUCAGGAGGUUAGUGCAAUGGCAUAAGCCAGCUUGACUGCGAGCGUGACGGCGCGAGCAGGUGCGAAAGCAGGUCAUAGUGAUCCGGUGGUUCUGAAUGGAAGGGCCAUCGCUCAACGGAUAAAAGGUACUCCGGGGAUAACAGGCUGAUACCGCCCAAGAGUUCAUAUCGACGGCGGUGUUUGGCACCUCGAUGUCGGCUCAUCACAUCCUGGGGCUGAAGUAGGUCCCAAGGGUAUGGCUGUUCGCCAUUUAAAGUGGUACGCGAGCUGGGUUUAGAACGUCGUGAGACAGUUCGGUCCCUAUCUGCCGUGGGCGCUGGAGAACUGAGGGGGGCUGCUCCUAGUACGAGAGGACCGGAGUGGACGCAUCACUGGUGUUCGGGUUGUCAUGCCAAUGGCACUGCCCGGUAGCUAAAUGCGGAAGAGAUAAGUGCUGAAAGCAUCUAAGCACGAAACUUGCCCCGAGAUGAGUUCUCCCUGACCCUUUAAGGGUCCUGAAGGAACGUUGAAGACGACGACGUUGAUAGGCCGGGUGUGUAAGCGCAGCGAUGCGUUGAGCUAACCGGUACUAAUGAACCGUGAGGCUUAACCUUACAACGCCGAAGGUGUUU